RNAcentral lists this ribosomal RNA (497 nucleotides) under uncultured bacterium. Its description in RNAcentral is "partial 16S ribosomal RNA". It matches the Rfam family "Bacterial small subunit ribosomal RNA", at positions 28 to 507 of the family's 1533-position model. The record is from RNAcentral.
GAUGAACGCUGGCGGCGUGCCUAAUACAUGCAAGUCGAGCGAACAGACGAGGAGCUUGCUCCUCUGACGUUAGCGGCGGACGGGUGAGUAACACGUGGAUAACCUACCUAUAAGACUGGGAUAACUUCGGGAAACCGGAGCUAAUACCGGAUAGUAUAUUGAACCGCAUGGUUCAAUAGUGAAAGACGGUUUUGCUGUCACUUAUAGAUGGAUCCGCGCCGCAUUAGCUAGUUGGUAAGGUAACGGCUUACCAAGGCGACGAUGCGUAGCCGACCUGAGAGGGUGAUCGGCCACACUGGAACUGAGACAUGGUCCAGACUCCUACGGGAGGCAGCAGUAGGGAAUCUUCCGCAAAGGGCGAAAGCCUGACGGAGCAACGCCGCGUGAGUGAUGAAGGUCUUCGGAUCGUAAAACUCUGUUAUUAGGGAAGAACAAAUGUGUAAGUAACUAUGCACGUCUUGACGGUACCUAAUCAGAAAGCCACGGCUAACUACGUG